Molecule: unclassified non-coding RNA, 369 nt
Filed under: uncultured Acaulospora
Lineage: Eukaryota; Fungi; Glomeromycota; Glomeromycetes; Diversisporales; Acaulosporaceae
Description: SSU rRNA
Rfam family: Eukaryotic small subunit ribosomal RNA
Source: RNAcentral
AGCAGCCGCGGUAAUUCCAGCUCCAAUAGCGUAUAUUAAAGUUGUUGCAGUUAAAAGCUCGUAGUUGAAUUUCGGGGUUCAUACAUUGGUCGGGCUUUUGGUCUGUACUUAUGUAAUGGAUUCCUACCUUCUGAAUAACCAGCAUGCCAUUAAUUUGGUGCGCCGGGGAAGCAGGACUGUUACCUUGAAAAAUUGAGUGCUUAAAGCAGGCUAUCGCCUGAAUACAUUAGCAUGGAAUAAUGAAAUAGGACGGCAUGGUUCUAUUUUGUUGGUUUCUAGGAUCACCGUAAUGAUUAAUAGGGAUAGUUGGGGGCAUUAGUAUUCAAUUGUCAGAGGUGAAAUUCUUGGAUUUAUUGAAGACUAACUUCU